UGUGGUUUGCGAAUUUAACUGUAAAGACGUCGAGAAAGUGGCCAAAACUUCGCUCGGACUAGAUGCUGUAAGAUUUUUAGUAACUUCAAUACUCUGCAUAGUUUUUGAUUUUGUGUGUUCUAAUUCAAGUUCACUCUCUACAUAACUCUUGCUAGAUGAAUUCAAGAGAUGGGAACUUUGAGGAGCAAUAAUAAAAAAAAUGAGGACUCAAAUAUUGAACGAAGAAGAAGGGCUCAAAUAGGGAAGUGACUUAACUCUUUCUUUCUCUCUCAAUUCUAUACAUCAUGCGUAAGUCCACUUUUAGGAUAAUACAAGUAGAAUACAACACAACAAAGCAUUAUCCUGGAAAACAUUAGAAUUGUG
Molecule: long non-coding RNA, 363 nt
Filed under: Capsella rubella
Lineage: Eukaryota; Viridiplantae; Streptophyta; Magnoliopsida; Brassicales; Brassicaceae
Description: long non-coding RNA (CRUB_LNC002702)
Source: RNAcentral